RNAcentral lists this ribosomal RNA (461 nucleotides) under uncultured bacterium. RNAcentral describes it as "partial 16S ribosomal RNA". It matches the Rfam family "Bacterial small subunit ribosomal RNA", at positions 339 to 795 of the family's 1533-position model. The record is from RNAcentral.
CUACGGGUUGCUCCAGUCGAGAAUCUUCCGCAAUGGACGAAAGUCUGACGGAGCGACGCCGCGUGCGGGAUGAAGGCCUUCGGGUUGUAAACCGCUGUCAGUGGGGAGGAAAUGCAUCAGGGUUCUCCCUGGUGUUUGACCGAUCCGCAGAGGAAGCGCAGGCUAAGUUCGUGCUAGCAGCCGCGGUAACACGAACUGCGCGAACGUUAUUCGGAAUCACUGGGCUUAAAGAGUUCGUAGGCGGCCUUUCAAGUCGGGUGUGAAAUCCCUCGGCUCAACCGAGGAAUUGCGCCUGAUACUGUUGGGCUUGAUGGGGAUAGGGGUGAGCGGAACUGAUGGUGGAGCGGUGAAAUGCGUUGAUAUCAUCAGGAACGCCGGUGGCGAAGGCGGCUCACUGGAUCUCUUCUGACGCUGAGGAACGAAAGCUAGGGGAGCGAACGGGAUUAGAUACCCCGGUAGUC